This 75-nucleotide transfer RNA is filed under the name Paracoccus alkenifer. RNAcentral's name for it is "tRNA_Lys_TTT". It matches the Rfam family "tRNA". From Rfam's summary of the family: Transfer RNA (tRNA) molecules are approximately 80 nucleotides in length. The record is from RNAcentral. Lineage: Bacteria; Pseudomonadati; Pseudomonadota; Alphaproteobacteria; Rhodobacterales; Paracoccaceae.
GGGCCCGUAGCUCAGUGGUAGAGCAACUGACUUUUAAUCAGUGGGUCGCUGGUUCGAUCCCAGCCGGGCUCACCA